This 253-nucleotide ribosomal RNA is filed under the name uncultured bacterium. Its description in RNAcentral is "partial 16S ribosomal RNA". It matches the Rfam family "Bacterial small subunit ribosomal RNA", at positions 524 to 776 of the family's 1533-position model. The record is from RNAcentral.
UACAGAGGAUGCAAGCGUUAUCCGGAAUUAUUGGGCGUAAAGCGUCUGUAGGUGGCUUUUUAAGUCCGCCGUCAAAUCCCAGGGCUCAACUCUGGACAGGCGGUGGAAACUACCAAGCUGGAGUACGGUAGGGGCAGAGGGAAUUUCCGGUGGAGCGGUGAAAUGCGUAGAGAUCGGAAAGAACAUCGGUGGCGAAGGCGCUCUGCUGGACCAUAACUGACACUCAGGGACGAAAGCUAGGGGAGCGAAUGGG